GUGUCAGCAGCCGCGGUAAUACGAAGGGUGCAAACGUUGCUCGGAAUCAUUGGGCGUAAAGCGCACGUAGGCGGCUUCGCAAGUCGGAUGUGAAAUCCCACGGCUCAACCAUGGACGUGCAUCCGAAACUGUGAGGCUUGAGUAUGGAAGAGGGUCGCGGAAUUCCCGGUGUAGAGGUGAAAUUCGUAGAUAUCGGGAGGAACACCAGUGGCGAAGGCGGCGACCUGGGCCAAUACUGACGCUGAGGUGCGAAAGCGUGGGGAGCAAACAGGAUUAGAAACCCUCGUAGUCC
This 292-nucleotide ribosomal RNA is filed under the name uncultured bacterium. Its description in RNAcentral is "partial 16S ribosomal RNA". It matches the Rfam family "Bacterial small subunit ribosomal RNA", at positions 505 to 796 of the family's 1533-position model. The record is from RNAcentral.